RNAcentral lists this long non-coding RNA (1127 nucleotides) under Cinara cedri. Lineage: Eukaryota; Metazoa; Arthropoda; Insecta; Hemiptera; Aphididae. The record is from RNAcentral.
UUAUUUUUGAUCGUUUUAUUUUCGUGUAAAAUAUUUUCUGAUAAAAUAUUGUUCGUAUUUUAUAAUACUUGAUAAAAUACGUUUCUAUUGGAAUUUUUUUGCGGAUACUAAAUUUUCUGACAAAAUAUUUUUAGACAUUAUAUAGCCACUCAUUAAAAUUAUUACGAAAAAGAGCUGAUACUGGGGAUGAGAGCAGCCACUGUUAUAGACGAGAAGUUGGGAAAGUAGGAUACUUAAGGUUAUUUCAUUCAUAUCUGGAAACAACGAUAAACCAUUGCUUAACGAAUGACGGUAUAAAACACAAUAUAUUUCAAGCUCGAGUAUCUUUAUGAUCGAAUUUACCUCGUAGUAGACAAGAGGUGCAUGAUAUUACGAAAGACAUCAAAACGUCAAAACGUUUGAAGGUAAUACAUUUUUACAGGUAAAUAAUGCGGAAAAAGGGGAUUUUAUUAUUUGGCACUGAUGACAAUUUAAAAUUUCUUAGUACAUCAACCAUAUUUUACGUUUAUGGAACAUUCUCGUACCGUACAAAGUUUUUUUUUACCAAGUUUUCACAAUUGAUGUAAUGAAAAACAAUCAUUGUACCUUUAGUUUUUACAUUACUGAAAGAAAAGAAAGACAAAAAUCAAGAAUCCUGUGUAGAUAUUUCACGAAUUAUUGAUAAUUAUUGUGUAACUUAUUGGGCAACUCAAGGUUUCAAUUCAUAAAAAUAUUAGUUAAUAAGUAUAAGCCACGGCAAAUAGUUUAAUAUAAUGGUUUUAAUUAAUUUUGUAUUCAUAAACUAUACAUAUAUUUUAUAUAAUGACGCAAUCAGCGAUAGUAUUCUGUGUUUUAAUUUUUCUCUCGAUUUUUCAAUACAUAUAAAUAUUAGCCAAUAAGUAUAAUCCGCGAAAAAAAUGGUUUAAUGUAAAUGUUUUGAUUAAUUUUGUACAUAUAUUUUAUAACGGUGUACAAUAUACGUAUGUGAUUAUUUUUUUAUAAAUAUUGAUUGUUGUAAAUGUUUAAUGUACACUAAUGCAAUAUUAUUUUAACGCCGGCGAAUACGCUGAUCGUUAGUGACUAAUGCUCAAUAUCAAUUACCAAUAUUUUAAUGGACCGCGGCGUAAUAUUUAUAAACUUGUUAACGG